GCACCUGCGUGUAUGUAUGUCUGAUUGCAUGUCUGUGUGUCUCUGUUGGGUAAGUUGGGAGAUCCAUAUAGGAUGACUCUUCUCUGUGCCUCUUGCCAACCCCCCCCCCCCCCCCGAGACUGGUACAGGAGAAAGAGGGUCUUGGCCUGGGAGUGGAGGGGGUUGGGCAUUCAGGGUGGGGUUGGAAGCUGGUGUGAGGGCUGGAUGGUGCUGCUUUGCCUGGGGCCUGGAAUGAGCUAACAGCAGCUACAAUUGUAACGCAUCUCUGGGAGAACGGAGUCUGGGGACCUAUCUGGAAACUAGCUGCCCUCUGGCUGCUUAGCCCAGUGCAAAGAGGCAGGGCCUGGCUUUGGGGAGAGAACUUCUGGGAGGACCCCUCCGUCCUCCUCGACGCCUUCCCCAGUCCUUAAGGGGUGUACCCCGUCCAUCCCUCUGAAAGUCUAGUCAUGCAUCAGCCUCGCUCAGGGCCGGGCUGGACUGGGAAGGAUGGGGGCGUUGGUUGUUCGGGGCUCCCCUCUUCUCUGGCCCCAUGAGCUCGCUGCUGCCCUACCCGCGGCCGACAGCAGAGGGGGCCCUCGGCCUAGGGAUGGAGGUCGGGGCUAGCCGGACCGGAGGACGAGCUGGGGGCGGGGCGAGGUAUGGAAUUUUAGCCGGAGGGACUGGAAGAGGGUGCGGGGGGGGGGGCGGGGGGGAGGAGCGGGAGGUGCGGAGAGAGGAGAGGAGACCUGACUUGUGAACCGGGGGAGGGGGCGGGGCUCCUUCGGUAACUUUAAGGGCUCCGACGGGCUUGUGAGCGCCACAGCCUCCGGGCUAUAUGUAAAUGACACAAAUUACUAUGCAACCUGCAGCUUGUUUCUGAGUCGGGAACUUGGGUCAUCUUCCUAACACAGUUGGGGCAGGUCAAGGGGAAGAUGGCUGUGAACUCCUUCCCCCCAGGCCCACGGCUUCCUUCCAGGGGGACAGGAGAGCAUUUGCUGCCUUCUCAGGUCACUCAGGGAAGAAUAACCUCUGGACUGUCGGCUGGAACUUCCUUUCGGAGAGUCAGUUUCGCCCCCUGCAAUUGGGCAUGGUGACGCGGCCCUAUAGCACCUCACCCAGCGAAGAGGGCUAGAGGUGGACAGCGAAAUCCUGCAGGCUGCUUUGAGGCCGGGGACCGGACAACACGACCUCCACCCACGUUUUGGCCCUAGUCCACAAGCCCCUUCCCUCGCCUUUCUUUUGGCAGAGGCGGCCAGGAGCAAGGAUUAGGCUAGCUGUUGCUAGGGGGCGUGGUCGGCGGUUGCAGGGCUCAAGGGACGUUGCUGAGCAACGCUGGGCGGGGCUCACGUUGCUAGGCCCGAGUAGGAGUCCUCAGGGACCGGAAUGGCCACCCAGCUCCCCUCGGCUUCAGUGGAGGGCGCCCCACGAAGCUGCUCUCUCGCGACUUUCUCCGGGUCUCAGCUUCCCUCAGGCUGGACGCAGUUUCUGAGGGUCCUUCCGGUUCACACCCUCCGAGACUCCGUGAUCCUCUGGGCUAUGGAGCGAGGAACCCUGGGUCUUUGUGCACGUGUCUGUUUGAGCGGUAGCGUCUACAAAUUUACAUAUAUCUGCAUGUCAUUAACAUAGAGGCGGGGCCGGAACUUGUUUGGGCAACUAUCCCUGGACAGUUCCCUUUGCUUCCUCUCUCAUCCCGCCUGAAGGGCACGUGGGCAGCGCAUGCAGCCCAGCUCCUCUCAGGACCCAACCAAAGCAAAUCAACAUCCUCUGCAGCUCAAGACUUGACAACUAAACACCAGGAAGAACUUCCAGAUGUCAGGAUUCGAGGCAAAGGAUGAGGACUACUGGUUUGCCUGUUUGUCCUUGGAGGCUGGAGGCCAGGUUAGUGAAGCAUGGGACCCCUAUCCCCCACCCAUCACCAACACCACACACUCAUGCACAUCCUUACACGCCUUUCCCUCUCAGGGACCCGUUGUUUCCAGACACCUUGCAUUUCUGUCUCAAAGGUGCUGGAGCCCAGGACCUCUGCAGCAGUGGCAGCUGAGUUUGAGAGGCUUAAAAACCGGAGCUAGGGAGGUGGUGACCAAGAAGGUCCCUUACAGGACUGAGAUGUCUAGGGUGGAUCAGGGUCUGGCCAGAGGCUGACGGCAGAAACUUUGGAGAGUCAAACAUCUGAGCCUUUGCAAGGGAGGACUGGGAAACCCUGGAGCCACUCCCUUGCCCUUUCUGGGGCUCAGGGUCCCCACUGUGGACAAUUGGGACUCCUCUGCUGAGACAUGGGGCAAAAAAAAAAAAAAGAAGACAGAGGUCAGUUCAGGGUGAAGGACCCUCACUGCUGUAGUUGUGUAGUUGUGCCAUGGAGGUAGUGAGUUCCUUGUUGUUGGGGCUUUGAAAGCAGGGGCUGAGCAGGACUGAGAGCAUGGCUGGGAGGGAGCAGCAGAUCUCCUUCUGGAAUUUCUUGUUCUCGUUUGGACACUAGUUGCUCCGUAUAGCCUCUUCGAAAGCUGGAAAGCCCUCCCCGGGUCUAUAUUCAGCCUUUCCUCCUCUGGCCUUCUUGCCUUCCUUUCUCCCAGAGUCUCUGUGACCUUCACAGCCUUGACUGCCAGGGUCAGAGGGGAGGCAGAGGAGGUGUUAAAGGAGGAGAACCAGUUCCACUCUGUGUUGGUCUCUUAGUUCUCAGUUAGGUUCGGAUAAUUAAGAUAAAUGAGGCUGGCUCCUCUCCUGGGUAGAUGAAGUUUGUUGGUGUUGGAGAGGGAGUGUAGGAGCUGGAUUCUGAUUGGUUGUUUGGCUUCCUGGAGGAGUUAGGAUUACAUGGGGGCUAAUACCCUACAGUUGUCACUCUGACCACUGUAUGCAAGACUGCUGUCUGCCUGCGGAUGGCAGCGGGCCAACUCCUUCCCUUGUAGCCACCUGCGCUCCACAGGUAAGGGUUCCAGGGACGGGCUGAGAGCCUGGCAGUGCCCGGCUGGCCCGCUUGUGUCCCACUCUGGGGGCCAAUUACGUCUCCAUCCCUAGCCGUGCCGAUUAACAGUUAAUAAGGCAGUAAACACCUGCAGCUACGGAGGCGAAUUAAGAGCAACAGUCGGCAUAAUACACAACCCGAUAAGUGAGCAAUUAACAACCAGAGAAAGAUUAAUAGAACCAAUUACGUCCUACUCAGAGCUCUGUAAAUACGACUGUCAAUGGCUGAGGGAUUCAGAGCAGUCCUGCCCAGCCCCACCCCAGGCCACAGCUUCGGAAGGGAGGGGAGCCAGCCCAGCCAGCCUGUGAACUCCAGACCCCAGAGCCAUAUACACACGAGAAAUGCACAUAUAUGCAAACACGCACACGGACAUAUACAGAUACACAUCUGUGGAGAGAUGGUCCACAAGAUGCAGGCACAUGAUACACAAGUCCCCUACUGUCAUCCACACUCACAAAAAUGUGUACACAGAGGUACACAUAAGUUCUGCCAGAAAUACGCAGAGAUCCAGAAAAAUACCCGCAAAGGGACACUUGCGUGUUUUGCACAGAGCUAGAGCCACAUAGACUACAAGACACACAGUGACACGUGUACAAAUUUGCACACGUAGAUACACACAGCUAUCUACUCAUGGAGUCCCCUAUACAUGUGGCCCUCCUUUGAUGCCCACCUUGCAAAGGGUCAUCUACAAGAGAGCUGCAGCAGGGAAUCGGACUGAGCAUGGAACAAGGGCGGGAAGGGACAGAAUGUGUGUGCACACACACAUGCAAGCAUGUCUGCAAGCAUGUAAUAAGCAUGUGUGUCCUUGCAACUCAUGGGCAUGUUCUCGUGUGUAAAUAGGCAUGCACCUUACAUCUGUGUGCCUGUGUGAAUGUUUGUGUGUCAAAAUGUACGCGUGGGUGUAUGUACAUGUGCUUGUGUCCAGUGGAUCUGUGACUGUCAUGUGGGCUUCUGGUUCACAAGUGACCCUGUGCCAGUGUUCAUGUCUGGGUCGCCAUGUGUCACUACUUGAGAGUGGCUUUACGUGUGUCCUGCCUCUGUGCUGUGGCAGGUGAGGGGGGUCCCCAUGGGAUGCUCCCCAGGGAGCCUGGGAGCUCUGAUGGCACCUGAAACUGGGGCCCACCUCUAGGAAACAAGGGUUUAGGACUCCUAGGGCCCACUUGGUUUUCCCAAGAGGGACUUCCAGCCCAUCUAGUGGGAUUCAGCACCACUGGGCCACCCAGGUCGAGGAAGAGAAAUGAGAAUCGUUUCUAAAGAAAUGGACCUGGAGGUUAAUUUCUCUGAACUGAAAGCUAAGAAUGGGUACCUUUGUCUCAAGGCCAUUGCGCCUGUCCCCACCAGACCUGACCCUCCCCUCUCCCAUCUCUGCCUGGGAACUUCCAAUGGAAAACCUACAGAGCCAAGACCCAAACGCUUUGCCCAUAUUCUGGGACAUACAUCGUCAUACACAGAAACCCCAGCCCCCAAGGAUCCAAUCAUGUGGCCAUACAAACAUAGACAGUCACGAAUGCAAACGUAAAAUUCUACCCACGGUCAACCUAGCCGCCCACAGACAGUGUCACCACACAGGAAAUCACAUACAUACGCACACACACACCUGCACUCCCACAUGCCCCUACGCCCAUUACUCUCUGCGAUGAGCCCAGUGCCAAGCUGGAGGGCCCAGGGGGCAUCCUGUGACAGGUCCCCCCAUCUCCUUCAAUACCAGCCUGGCCAGAUGGUGGAGGCUGCCGGGGCCCCAGGAGAGCUCUCUAUCACUGCUAACCCGCCAGUUGACAGGCGGGCGCGCUGAGGCCUGGCCCGGCCAGAGAGGGGCAGGGGUGGAAAUAAGGAGGUAAUGAAGCUCGCCAGCCAGCACCCUCCACACCCUGCACCCCAGACCUGGAUGGUGCCUGCCCCAGGGCCUUUCGUUGUUGGGCAGGGAGGAACUUCUGAGCAGGGACGCACAGGCACAGAGAUUCGUGGAUUCAUACAGAGCCACUCUCACACACUCAGGCUUCCACAGGGCACAGAAGGACCCAGACGCAGGCAGGCACCUCCUCUAGCACCCACAGGUACAGCUACCCCGUCCCCAGGCAGCAGCCACUCAUCAACGCCAGGGCUGACUUUGCAGAAAGCCUGGCCAGGCCCCUAGCCCCCCUCUGCCUCCUACCAUCUAAUGAAAGCAAACAAGAAACGGAUCUGUGGGCCCCCAAAGCCAAAACAUCUGCUGUAGCUCUGUCCUUCUGUCAGUGAAUCCAGCCUUCUUUUGACGAUUAGUCAUUUGAUUUUUGUUUUUCAUUCAUUCACUCAACCAGUGUUCACUCAUUCAUUCGGCCCAUAAGGACAUUAAACAAACCAUUAUAUUCAGUCCAGUGACCUGGCUGUCCUCCUAGCAUCUGGCAUCCUGGCAUCCUGGCCUGGGGGUAUGGUAGCUGGGGAGGGAAACAAGGGGGGAGUCUGGGCUCAGAGGGAUGGGGGCGGGGAGUGGAAGGGAUGUCCCCAUCCCUUACUUUCUCAGUCUCUCAAAGUGAAAGAAAAGGUGCUUCUUUUGCAGCUGGAGGGAAAAAAGCCAAAUCCCGGGAUAAUAUAGAUAAUAAUAGUGAACACUUACAAGCCCUUACUCUGUGCCAGGCGCUGCUCUAAGUGCUUUACAUGAAUUAACUCAGUUCUUCCUCCUAACAGCUGCAUGAGGCAAGUACUAUUAUUAACCCCACUUGGGAGUGUAGGGAGGUUAAGUAACUUGCCCAAGAUCAAACAGCUUCUCAGAGCCACCCCGAAUGUUUACGAAGCCUAGGGCAAGAGUAUAACAGGAGACCCCUAGACCUCCACCCCCGCCCCCCUCCUCUUCCGUCUCUGGGCUCCAGGCAGCAGUGUGAGGGGCUUCGCGUGCAGGCCUGCGGAUGCCCCAACACUGGAGUCCCUGCUUGUUCCACGCUCCUGGUAAAUAGCCACCCUUCGGGCUUGAGGAGACAGAUGUGGAGAAGACGCCACCCAGGCCUUGGCAGCUGGCUUAGGGCUCCGGGGGCAGGGAAUUCUAGGGUCCUGUGUCGGGGUAUGGUCUAGCAGCGGGCUGGAGCACCAGGUGGGGACAACCCUGUGGGCCUUCGGACCUUGAAAUUCUUCAUCCCAUGCAGAAGAGGGUCGUCCGAAGUAGAGGGGGAGGGCAGGGGCCUCCAUUGCCCAGGUCUGAGAGUAUUGGAGCUGGUAAGUGGUGGUCCAGGGUACCAUCCCAGGCACUCUGGCUAGUUCAGCUCUUAACUAGACUGGUAGGGGCUGAGGGGCCAGGGGGCUGACAGGAGGGGCAGAACUAGCUGAGUGUUAACUUCCCCACCCCUACUCCCAGUUCUGCUCUUACCAAAUUCAGGCCAUUUCUCCCAAGGGGACUGACUGCUCUGUGCCCAGCUUUCAGAUUGACUCAAUCUUGUUGCCCCUCCAAUCGCACUCCCACUGACAUCCCCACCCCUCUGGCCCUGGCAUUAAGGAAGAUAUGGAGGCUCCCAGAUUAAAUGUGGACCUGGACCAGCCACACCAGUGCACCCAGCUCCCUGCCUCUGUUUCCCUGGCCCCCAAAUUACCGGCUCCCUCUCCAGAGGCUUUUUCACACAAUUACUCAGGCUAGGAAUUUUGAUCCCCGGUGCCAGCUAGACCCUUGUUAUGCAAAUAUAGGCAAAUGAGAUGCAAACAGAGCCGGCCCAGAUUAACAGAGAAAUCCCCAGCAGCUGGAGGAGUCACCGAAAAGUCAACUCGCUGGAGCAAGCUUUCCCCAAACCCCCUUAUCCAGUCUCUGUCCACCUGGAUCUGUCUGGUCCCUCCCUGUCCUUGCCACCGCUCUCCUGCCCUGCUCAGGAGCUAACUGCUCAAACUUAGGGAGGGUCUGGAAAAGGGGGGACACCAAGGCAUAGACUCUCUACCACCUUUCCAGUUUGAGAUCUCUGUUCUCCCCCCAUUUUUAAGAGAUCCAGGCAUGGGUGGAGGUUAGGGGUAGGGGUGGUGAGUGGGGCUGGGAGAGAGGGAGAACUCUGUUUUCCCUCUGUGGAAAGGGUAAUAUUCUCUCUCUCUCUCUCUCUCUCUCUCUCUCACACACACACACACACACACACACACAGAGACACGCACACACGCACACAGAGUUGACCUGGGAGUUACCCCUAAGAUGCACACACAUAUACCCCAUAUACCACCUCACGAAUCUGGCCAAGGUCCACCCUCUCCUUCUUCCCUCAACACACUGUAAAUUAAGCCACAGACAUCAACACACUGCAGUGGGAGGGUAGGCUGUGUCCCCCAUUCCUGGGUCCUGGAGGUUAGAGGGUACAGCAGGUGGGACCCUGGGUCUGUGUGAAGACAGAAGGGAGUAGAAGAUCCUAUCCAGGGCAUGACCCUGGGGAAGGAGGCUGGGGGUGUGUGGAAGAAGCCUGGCAUGGGCAGUGCCCACCAGAACCCCCUGGGGGGGCUGAGGCUGGUGUCUAUAUCUUCAGGCCCUGCCCAAGGGAGCCAGGCCCGCUGGCCGGCCCAACCAGCCCAGGCCCAACUUCUAAAAAUAAGAGCCGAGAAUCUAAGCUCCUGGUUGGUUGUACAGGAGCCUGUUGCCUUGGCAACCCCUUCUCAGAGGCCUCCCUCCCGGCUGCCCCGUUUGGCUGCUGGUCCCUGUGCCAGUCCCCUCUGCUGGCCCCUCUGCCAGCCCUCUGUCUGUCCCCCUGGGGAGGGAGGACGGCUGUGGGGCGGGGGGGUGGAGCGGUCGGAGGACCUGGGGACUCUAGCUGAGCCCGAGGGCCUGAGUGUGAGACCUGUCUGGGGCUGUGUCGGAGGCUUGUCUGAUGGUGGGUGUGUGACCGUGUGUGCGACAGGCCUGCAUCUAACAGCCUGCGUCAGGCUGUCUCUGUGUACAUCUCUCCUGUGACUUGACUCUCAGAGUCCCCGUGGGUGACUGUGCUCUCUCUCUGUGGAUCUGGGUCUAUGUGUGUGACGGUAUUAUGUCCCAAGGGAAGAUCUGGCUGUCUGCUCCUGCCUGUGCCCACCCCCACUGCCUGUGGGCUUUCCCUUCACCCUGCCCGCCUCCACUUUCUGGGGGUGCAGGCUGGGAGUACAGAGGCACAUGGGUGCCCGGGGUGAGCCAGAGGUCAAGUGUGGUGACUGGGCCAAGUUCAGCCUCUUCUAGGGUCUGCAGGUAAAUAUCAAAUAAGGCUCAAAUCUGACCCUCCGGGCGGGGGGGGGGGGGGGUUGGGGGUGCAAUUCACUCCUGAAACCGUGUGAUCUAAAUUUCUGAGUGUGUGCCUGUAUGUGUGUGUGCUGUAGUCCCUGUCAGAGGCAGAGCCUCCCCUCCCCCACCUGGCCUCCCCUCUCCAAUUAAUCACCAAGUCCUGUCAAAUCUCAUCAUCACUGCUCUAGCUAGCUCUCGCUCCUCCUCUCUUCCUCUCUGCCACCCGCACCCAGCCCGGGCCAGACCCCUCCCUCACCCAGGCAACGCAACAGCCUCCUAUCAGCGCUCCCUACCUUCCAGACUCCAGGUCGAGCCUCGCCCUCUCUCCUGUGCCCCCAUCCCCUCCUCCAUUCAGUGGCCACAAUGACGAUCCUUUAAAACACAACUCAGAUUCUGUUACACCCCCUGCUUGGAUCUUUGUUCUCAGAGCAAAGCACCAGCUCCUCAGCUCGGUCUUCUAGGCUUUCCCCAGUCUGGUCUCUGCUCACUGCAUGGGUUUUACCUGUUGCCCCUUCACCCAGCCCCACGAGCAACUAAGAGUUUCCAGAAGAGAUCGGGAUCUCUCUUGCCUCUAUGCCUUUGCACAUGGUUUCCUAGCCUAGAACCAGUCUUCUGACUCUUGGAAUGAUAAAUAAAGGUUAUGUGUUCUGAGAGUUAGUACAGUCAUCACCUCUACCAGGAAGCCUUCCCUGACUAGGAUUAGGGACCUCUGUGUUCUCAUGACAUCCUGGGCUGCACCCGACCCCCCUACAUUGCUUGCAUUUUUUGACUUUUUCCCACAGAUUUGGAGGAGACUUAGAAAAAACAAAAAAGUACCAACUGAAACAAAAAAAAAAAUCACCCCAAACCCUCUCAGAUUAACUCUUGGUUUAUUUCCUUCCAGACUUUAUUUAAAUGAAUUAAUUUUUUUUUUAUGAAGUGAAGAGCAUCCUAUAUGUAUGGUUUUGUUUAACUUAUUAUAGAGUGAGCAUUUUCCCAGGUUAUUAAAAAUUCUUCAAGAACAUGACUUUGAAUGGUUGCAUAAUAUUCUUAUAUAUGGAUGUAUUGUAACUUAUUUAACCAACCCUCAACUGCUAGACAUUUACAUUGGUUGUGAUUUUUCAGUUAUAGAUAAUGGCAAUAAACAUUCCU
Acinonyx jubatus (cheetah) is the source of this 9251-nucleotide long non-coding RNA. RefSeq lists it as uncharacterized. The record is from RefSeq and is a predicted model, not a curated record. NCBI's taxonomy places the organism in Eukaryota, Metazoa, Chordata, Mammalia, Carnivora, Felidae. The transcript is spliced from 3 exons.